This is a long non-coding RNA of Myotis myotis, 404 nucleotides long. RefSeq lists it as uncharacterized. NCBI's taxonomy places the organism in Eukaryota, Metazoa, Chordata, Mammalia, Chiroptera, Vespertilionidae. The transcript is spliced from 2 exons. The record is from RefSeq and is a predicted model, not a curated record.
CUAUCUCAACGUGCUGUUCCUGCUUUGUCUCCAGGUCGUUGACCAGGCAGUGCCUCUGCCUAGGAUACCUUCCACCUUUGUCAUCUGGCCAAGUCCUCCUCAUCCUUCAGGCCUUAGACUGCUUCCCAUGGAAAAUCUCCCCUCACCCCAAGGAUAAGCCGGGAAUUGCACCAUGAGCCCCUAACGCCUCCUCAGUGCCUACCACAACCCUCAGCACAGUACAUUCCAGGUCAGGAAUGGUACACUCAAAAACAUCUAUUUAACACAAAGAAGACAGCAACAGGAAAACAAAAAGACAUAGACAAUACAGGUGCUAAAAAUAAAGCCUCUUUUGCAACCCAGAACUCAUUGCUCAGUAUGAGUUUUGAUACAUAUAAGAAGGAACAUGAUAAAAAAAAAAAAAA